Long non-coding RNA from Phasianus colchicus (ring-necked pheasant), 1590 nucleotides. RefSeq lists it as uncharacterized. NCBI's taxonomy places the organism in Eukaryota, Metazoa, Chordata, Aves, Galliformes, Phasianidae. The record is from RefSeq and is a predicted model, not a curated record.
AAAGGGGGGUGAUAAAUAAAAAAUUGCUGCAAUACAGUCCUGACCAAGUAGAAAUUUAGACAGUGAUAAGAAACAAACCCACCAGUCAUACUAGCGGAUUUAGGUAGCUAGCUAGCAACAGGCCCACUGCCAGGAAGAUCAGUUUGGACUUUGGAUCUGGAAGGGCUACAUGACAACUCCUGGUAAGACCUGUUUGUGUUUGGGUGAAGACUGGUGGCAGCAGUCAGGCUGAGAAGGCACCACAACCUGUGAUGUCAGCUACUGGAGUGAGCAUGUGGUCUAAGCAUCGCAUGCUGCUUACAGAAAUUAAUAUUAUUGAUUCCCAAACAUUCUCUGCACUUACCAUCCAUGAAGCUCGGACUGAUCAUCUGUCUUGCAUUCCCUUUAUUGAUUUCAAUUUCUGAGCCAAGACAUGCAAGUGUACUUAAAAAUGCACUGAUCCUAUAGCUCUGCAAGCAAUAAGCUCAUGACAAAGGAAUUGACUUGAUUACUGUCGAAGAAAGAGAGAAAAUAAAAAGAAAUAUUGGGAAAUAUACUGUCUUUAAAAAAAUGUGCUCACAUAUUGUAAUUUCUGUCAAAUAAAAAUAGGUAUAUAUGUAGAUUAAGUCUGGAAAGUAUGUAGCCAAGUUUAUAUUCAGAUGUGAAAAAGUGUGAAAAAAUACAGAAUGUUCUCUUCCUGCAAAGCCAAAGAUUAGACAACAGACUGAAUUAUGGUAAGAGAGACUGAGAAAACUGGCUUAUGUUCAUGUGUGGAAAUUAACUUAAUUGUGUAGCCAUUUAUCAUUUUCUUUAUUUCUCCUUCUUGCUAAAUUUUUCCUCUCUCUUUGUCUGUCAUUCUGCAGAAAAUGAGGAUUUUUUUCUUAAGAACACUUUAAACUUUUAAAUAAUAAAUAAAUAUUGUAUGCAAUUACUGAGCUCCAACAUUAGUACCAUGUAAUGCAAAGUUGUAUGCGUUUUGGGGAAAUGGUAAAAUCCAGACUACAUUGUCCAGAUUUAAAAGAAUCGAUUUACAUCUGUAGUAUGAGUAUUUAUGUGUUUUUUCAGUCAGCCAUAAUUUAAUUAUACCACUUUCAUAUGUAGUCCAUGUAUUUCUGCUUUCAAACAGAUCAUUGCAACAAAAAUAUACAUUAUUAGGAAAGGGAGAAAAAUAGUAAAGGAAAAUUCUUUGACAGGAUGAAUGAGCUAAGAAUUCUUUGCUGAAUAUUGGUAUCUUGUGAAUCAAGAACAUUUUCUCCUGAUGUUUGAAUUUAUUCAGGGUAAUCUUUCAUUCUUCUCAGUCUCAGUCAUAACCAGUCUCAGUCAUAACACUUGUCAAGUAAACUUCCAUGCAUAUAUUACAGUGCCUAUCGUGAACUUAUUUUUAGAUGCAAACAAUAGAAGAUUGUCAGAAACCUGAAACCUACUUGAAACAAGGCAUGUGUGACAUCCUUUAAAUAAUGCCAUUUAACACUUGACAAAAUCAAUGACUGGCUAGCUGCUAAUGUUUAUGUUAGAAAAAUAAUGGAUAGGAAUAUGAGAAAUAUGAGUUGAGACAAAAAGGAAUAAACUGAUUGUCUUGCCAAAAAAUAUUUCUAAUGUCUUCUUUUUAAA